GACGAACGCUGGCGGCGUGCCUAACACAUGCAAGUGGAGCGACGAACCGGGCUUCGGCCCGGGGCAGAGCCGCGAACGGGUGAGUAACACGUGGGUAACCUGCCCUGAUGAUCGGGACAACCCGGGGAAACCCGGGCUAAUACCGAAUGUGCUCACGUCACAUCAGUGGCGUGAGUAAAGGUAGCUUCGGCUUCCGCAUCAGGAUGGGCCCGCGGCCCAUUAGCUAGUUGGUGGGGUAAAGGCCUACCAAGGCGACGAUGGGUAGCUGGUCUGAGAGGACGAUCAGCCACACUGGGACUGAGACACGGCCCAGACUCCUACGGGAGGCAGCAGUGGGGAAUCUUGCGCAAUGCGCGAAAGCGUGACGCAGCAACGCCGCGUGGGGGAAGAAGGCCUUCGGGUUGUAAACCCCUUUCAGUUGGGACGAAGCUCCGCCGGUGAAUAGCCGGCUGGAGUGACGGUACCUUCACAAGAAGCCCCGGCUAACUACGUGCCAGCCGCCGCCGUAA
This 509-nucleotide ribosomal RNA is filed under the name uncultured bacterium. RNAcentral describes it as "partial 16S ribosomal RNA". It matches the Rfam family "Bacterial small subunit ribosomal RNA", at positions 28 to 523 of the family's 1533-position model. The record is from RNAcentral.